Molecule: non-coding RNA, 45 nt
Filed under: Echinostoma caproni
Lineage: Eukaryota; Metazoa; Platyhelminthes; Trematoda; Plagiorchiida; Echinostomatidae
Source: RNAcentral
GCACUGCUGACGAGUUCUAAACAAGGCGAAACAGCUGUCCAGUGC